AUUGAACGCUGGCGGCAUGCUUUACACAUGCAAGUCGAACGGUAACAGGUCUUCGGAUGCUGACGAGUGGCGAACGGGUGAGUAAUGUAUCGGAACGUGCCCAGUAGUGGGGGAUAACUACUCGAAAGAGUGGCUAAUACCGCAUGAGAACUGAGGUUGAAAGUGGGGGACCGCAAGGCCUCACGCUACCGGAGCGGCCGAUAUCAGAUUAGGUAGUUGGUGGGGUAAAGGCCUACCAAGCCUGCGAUCUGUAGCUGGUCUGAGAGGACGACCAGCCACACUGGGACUGAGACACGGCCCAGACGCCUACGGGAGGCAGCAGUGGGGAAUUUUGGACAAUGGGCGCAAGCCUGAUCCAGCAAUGCCGCGUGCAGGACGAAGGCCUUCGGGUUGUAAACUGCUUUUGUACGGAACGAAAAAGCCUCUUCUAAUACAGGGGGUGCAUGACGGUACUGUAAGAAUAAGCACCGGCUAACUACGUGCCAGCCGCCGCAGUAA
RNAcentral lists this ribosomal RNA (498 nucleotides) under uncultured bacterium. Its description in RNAcentral is "partial 16S ribosomal RNA". It matches the Rfam family "Bacterial small subunit ribosomal RNA", at positions 30 to 523 of the family's 1533-position model. The record is from RNAcentral.